GAAUUCGCCCUUAGAGUUUGAUCCUGGCUCAGGACGAACGCUGGCGGCGUGCCUAACACAUGCAAGUCGAACGGAGUUGAGCCCUUCGGGACUUGACUUAGUGGCGAACGGGUGAGUAACGCGUGAAUAACCUGCCUUUCAGUGGGGGACAACAGUCGGAAACGAUUGCUAAUACCGCAUAAUAUCUUCUGGCCGCAUGACUGGAAGAUCAAAGCUUUAUGUGCUGAAAGAUGGAUUCGCGUCUGAUUAGCUAGUUGGUGGGGUAACGGCCCACCAAGGCGACGAUCAGUAGCCGGUCUGAGAGGAUGAACGGCCACAUUGGGACUGAGAUACGGCCCAGACUCCUACGGGAGGCAGCAGUGGGGAAUAUUGGGCAAUGGGGGAAACCCUGACCCAGCAACGCCGCGUGAAGGAAGAAGGCUUUCGGGUUGUAAACUUCUUUUACCAGGGACGAAGGACGUGACGGUACCUGGAGAAAAAGCAACGGCUAACUACGUGCCAGCAGCCGCGGUAAUACGUAGGUUGCAAGCGUUGUCCGGAUUUACUGGGUGUAAAGGGCGUGUAGGCGGAGGUGCAAGUUGGGAGUGAAAUCUAUGGGCUUAACCCAUAAACUGCUCUCAAAACUGUGCCCCUUGAGUAUCGGAGAGGCAAGCGGAAUUCCUAGUGUAGCGGUGAAAUGCGUAGAUAUUAGGAGGAACACCAGUGGCGAAGGCGGCUUGCUGGACGACAACUGACGCUGAGGCGCGAAAGCGUGGGGAGCAAACAGGAUUAGAUACCCUGGUAGUCCACGCUGUAAACGAUGAAUA
RNAcentral lists this ribosomal RNA (806 nucleotides) under uncultured bacterium. Its description in RNAcentral is "bacterial SSU rRNA". It matches the Rfam family "Bacterial small subunit ribosomal RNA", at positions 1 to 815 of the family's 1533-position model. The record is from RNAcentral.